This is a non-coding RNA of Bactrocera oleae (olive fruit fly), 3203 nucleotides long. Lineage: Eukaryota; Metazoa; Arthropoda; Insecta; Diptera; Tephritidae. The record is from RefSeq and is a predicted model, not a curated record.
GACAAGUUCAACUGUCAUCUAAUAAAUUUUUAAUAAAAUUUUUUUGUGGAAAAAAUUAACAAAAAACAAAAUUGAUACAGAAUUUUUACAAAAAGUAUAAAACGGUUAGCCUCAUGUAAGUACACCAAUAUAAAAAAAUUAGAGCGCCAGAAAAACAAUACAAUCACGCAGACGACACGCGACUUGCCAAAAAAUAUCAAGUGUUAAUGUCUUUAUGGAGACAGCGCGUUUUACGCUCAAGCCCAACUGAAAAAGCCUCAUCGUAUCAUCGCCCUGGUCAUGUGUCAUAAACAAGUUGCGCGGCGCCGGUGAACACUGAUUUCGAUGAGUGCAAUCCAAUAUUGAUUCUUAGCCCUUAAUGCAUUUUUCCUUCAUUGUUGUUAUAUUGGUUGUGCUGCGUAUUGUGAACAGUGUCUUUUGUAGACGGAAGUGAUUUCUACAACAGGUACAGUGGCGUCGCUUAAGCAAGGGGGUUUCUAAAGAAAACAUUUUACACGGAGGAAGUAGUGAAUGUUCGCUUAGAAUACUUUUUCUUCUACAAAUCUCCAAGUCUGUGAUUUUUUCAAGUAAGGCAGUAAAGGUUAAACUCUUCCAUUCAAAAUAUUUGCCCAAACUAAAUUAGAGAGACUUCCAGAUAUGGAUGACGUCACCAGAAAGUGCUGAUGAGCAGGAGCACAGAAUUCUAUUGCACUUUAACGUGAAAUGCAGCAUUGUCUCCGUCACUCUCUCUCUCCGUCUCUUUAUACUUACCAUACUCUUUAUCUCGUUUUCGUUCUAUCGUGUAUACUGUCUCUCUCUCUCUCUCUAUCGGACGUACUCUCUAUCCCGCUCUCACUUCAUCGUGCAUACUGUAAACGUGAUUUAUCAGUCUUAAUCUUGCACUUGAUAAAGGGGUCUGUCGGACGAAUAAGCAGAGAUGAUCAUACGGGCGUAAGUAACUACGGUACUACAAAAAAGCGUCUAAUAAUGCUUAGAACGGAGACUCACCAGCAACAUUGCAACACUGUUACAUAAAAUGUAACUGUGAUCAAUGACAACGCGGACUCACUGCAAGUCUAAUUGCGGCUAAAGUACCCAAAACAUAACCAAUUGCUGCCUAGAAUAAGGUUAUACAUCUUAUGAAAUAAGUUUUGGUUUAGCUAAAAUUAAAAUAAGACUUAUUAACUAGCUACUCAAAGCAUAGUCACCUCGAUAUGUGUUAUUGUUUUAUUCCAGACUGAGCGUCACACCUUUAAAUGCUACAUAAGAACGAAAUUUUGUCCAUUCUUGGGGGAGUUGCCGGCCAAUCACUGUCAACCAUACAGUACUUACGAAAUUCUUCAGUGAAUAUUUUCUUACGCUACAAUAAUAGCAAGAACGAAAUAUUUAGUAAGAGUCGUAGUGGUAGAUGUUUGUAGGAGAUUUGAUAAAUAUCGUAUAGUUCUAUUUUUUAAUCGAGAACAUGCGAGUAUAUUCAAACCCUAACCAUAAACCCGACAUUGGUGUAAACUGAACCUUUUCACUGGUUGAGUGUACUGUAAACUCAUUGAAGCCUCUCCAAUAAUCCAGACAUUGAAAUAAAUUGAACUCUUUUCACAACUACAAGUAUUAACUAAUUGACGUUUCUACUAACAAAUAAAUGAGAGUUUCAGACUAUUAUUCACAUUAGUAUUUUACUCUACGAUAUUGAUUAUGGCUUAUACGAGAAAAUUAUUCACGUCUCACUCGUUCACUUUGACGAGUCAUUUGCUUAUUUCAAAAAUAUUGUAUUUUGUUUUUUUGACUGACACCUAGAAUUUGGAUUAAUAGAUGACGAAAUUAUCAUUCAUACGGAAACCAAAUGCAAAUCUUCGCUCUAUCACUAGCGCCACUGUUUUUUCUCACUAAAACUCGCUGCAUAUUGACCGCUAGACAUACAACCGCCUUUGAAGAUCGGCUGCUAGUUGCAAACUUAUGUACUCGUACAUUAUGGGCAUGUUGUCGGUAAUCACAAAUAGCCACAGGUGUGGGCGCCAGUUCACUUAUUGUUUCUUAGAUGACAAAGCAAGCGGCUUCAAUGCAAAAGACACUAUGUUUAAGGAUUUGAAAAAAAUGAUUAGAAAAUAUGCUUUGCUUUAAAAUAAAAUUUCUAAUAAGCAUAACGCUAUACGAAAACCGAAAAGCCUGCAUAGCUAUGAAAACCUCUCUUUAACCCCAGCCCUGUUGACUUUUAAGCGCCUAGCGGCAAUAUUAUCCCCGAAAGGAUCCGCUAUUAUUUCGCUUAAUUAAUUGCUGUGCAAAUGUCUCCACUGCUCUGUUGUUGACUGAUGACUGUUGCGUGUUGACAUUUGUGGCAUGACCAAUAUGUAUGGAGUAUAGGCUAACAUAUGUAUAUAUGUGUGUGUACGCAUGUGUAUAACUGCUCUCAUUAGUCUGCCUGUAAACGAAUUUGUUGCCGAAAACGUGAAAACAAUUGAAGUGUCCUUAGAGUAUUACGUAGUCUUGCCUUCCGCCACUCUUUCGUUUGAUAGACGAGUAUGCCUUUGUUUUGCUGUCGACGUCUGCAUUUUUAGCAAAUUUGCAGUUGCAGAAAGCAAAAAAAAAAGAAAACACAAAAAACGAAAUGCAAUGAAGCAGUGUUGAGUGCAGCCUUUAUACGGUUGCGGUUUUUCGAGUGGGUGUGGUAAUUUAAUAAUUGGCAACGAAUUUGAUUUUGAAUGCAGAAGUUGGAAGGGAGUUCGAGUGUAUUAUAGUGAGUUCGAUCAAACUUCGGUUGCGCUUAUUACUUUUACUCAAGCCCCUGCGCCUCGACAAAGCAAUCAACGCUGAAGUUUGGCUUAAGAUAACCUUAAAUUGGGUAGAUUGCUUCAUCGCAGUUCGAGUCCACUUCGAUGCAACUUGUGAAGAAAGUUCAAUUAUAUGCAUUUACAAGAAAUAAAUAUGAUGUAUUAUAUAUAAUAAUUUCACCAACAAGGGGCACCAUAAACAUGAAAAAAUCCUGUAUCAUUUUGAACAAAUUUGCUUAAGAAACUUUGGUGUCGAACCAACCGAAUAGGUUGAAAGUGGCCUAAAUGGGACUUCAACAACAUCUACUGAUAAUAUGACUCCACACUAAAGGACAAUACAUUUCUUCACCAUAAAAUAAUAAUCUUUUCUCUAAAGUGUGCCAGCUCUCUAUUUUUAUUGACCUUGAAAUCACUGCGAACCCUUCAUUAAAAUAUUUCUGAAAUUCUUAAAGACUUGCG